GUGGCGAACGGGUGAGUAACACGUAGGCAACCUGCCCAAAAGAGGGGGAUAACACUUGGAAACAGGUGCUAAUACCGCAUAACCAUGAACACCGCAUGAUGUUCAUGUAAAAGACGGCUUUUGCUGUCACUUUUGGAUGGGCCUGCGGCGUAUUAACUUGUUGGUGGGGUAACGGCCUACCAAGGUGAUGAUACGUAGCCGAACUGAGAGGUUGAUCGGCCACAUUGGGACUGAGACACGGCCCAAACUCC
Molecule: ribosomal RNA, 251 nt
Filed under: uncultured Lactobacillus sp.
Lineage: Bacteria; Bacillati; Bacillota; Bacilli; Lactobacillales; Lactobacillaceae
Description: partial 16S ribosomal RNA
Rfam family: Bacterial small subunit ribosomal RNA
Source: RNAcentral